RNAcentral lists this transfer RNA (85 nucleotides) under Felis catus (domestic cat). It matches the Rfam family "tRNA". Rfam says of the family: Transfer RNA (tRNA) molecules are approximately 80 nucleotides in length. Their secondary structure includes four short double-helical elements and three loops (D, anti-codon, and T loops). Lineage: Eukaryota; Metazoa; Chordata; Mammalia; Carnivora; Felidae. The record is from Rfam by way of RNAcentral.
GCCUGGGUGGCUCAGUUGGUUGAGCAUCUGACUUUGGCUCAGGUCACGAUCUCAUGGUUCGUGAGUUCGAGCCCCACGUUGGGCU